GGAGGGUAGCUCAGUGGUAGAGUACAUGCUUAGCAUGUGCAAGGUCCUGGGUUCAAUCCCCAGAACCUCCA
Molecule: transfer RNA, 71 nt
Filed under: Camelus bactrianus (Bactrian camel)
Lineage: Eukaryota; Metazoa; Chordata; Mammalia; Artiodactyla; Camelidae
Also listed under: 2 other names
Rfam family: tRNA
About the family: Transfer RNA (tRNA) molecules are approximately 80 nucleotides in length. Their secondary structure includes four short double-helical elements and three loops (D, anti-codon, and T loops). Further hydrogen bonds mediate the characteristic L-shaped molecular structure. tRNAs have two regions of fundamental functional importance: the anti-codon, which is responsible for specific mRNA codon recognition, and the 3' end, to which the tRNAs corresponding amino acid is attached (by aminoacyl-tRNA synthetases). tRNAs cope with the degeneracy of the genetic code in two manners: having more than one tRNA (with a specific anti-codon) for a particular amino acid; and 'wobble' base-pairing, i.e. permitting non-standard base-pairing at the 3rd anti-codon position.
Source: Rfam by way of RNAcentral